UUAUGGCUCAGGACGAACGCUGGCGGCAUGCCUAACACAUGCAAGUCGAACGGAGUAAUGACUUCGGUUAUUACUAGUGGCGAACGGGUGAGUAACACGUGAAUAAUCUGCCCUGUACGAUGGGAUAACAGCUGGAAACGGCUGCUAAUACCGUAUAUGACCACGCCGAGGCAUCUCGGAGGGGUGAAAGCGCUUAAGCGGUACAGGAUGAGUUCGCGUCCAAUUAGCUAGUUGGUGAGGUAACGGCCCACCAAGGCGACGAUUGGUAGCCGACCUGAGAGGGUGAUCGGCCACACUGGAACUGAGACACGGUCCAGACUCCUACGGGAGGCAGCAGUGGGGAAUAUUGGGCAAUGGAGGAAACUCUUACCCAAGCAAUGCCGCGUGAGUGAUGAAGGUCCUCGGAUUGUAAAGCUCUUUGAUUGGGGACGAAUAAAUGACGGUACCCAAGGAACAAGCCCCGGCUAACUAUGUGCCAGCCGCGGC
RNAcentral lists this ribosomal RNA (486 nucleotides) under uncultured bacterium. Its description in RNAcentral is "bacterial SSU rRNA". It matches the Rfam family "Bacterial small subunit ribosomal RNA", at positions 17 to 518 of the family's 1533-position model. The record is from RNAcentral.